AAGAUUAAUUUUAUAGACUUCUAAUCUAUUAAUAAUGAUUUUUUUUUCAUUUAAUCUUU
RNAcentral lists this transfer RNA (59 nucleotides) under Ixodes ricinus (castor bean tick). RNAcentral describes it as "tRNA-Ser". The record is from RNAcentral. Lineage: Eukaryota; Metazoa; Arthropoda; Arachnida; Ixodida; Ixodidae.